This 2929-nucleotide ribosomal RNA is filed under the name Bacillus cereus. RNAcentral describes it as "bacterial LSU rRNA". It matches the Rfam family "Bacterial large subunit ribosomal RNA". The record is from RNAcentral. Lineage: Bacteria; Bacillati; Bacillota; Bacilli; Caryophanales; Bacillaceae.
UUUGGUUAAGUUAGAAAGGGCGCACGGUGGAUGCCUUGACACUAGGAGUCGAUGAAGGACGGGACUAACGCCGAUAUGCUUCGGGGAGCUGUAAGUAAGCUUUGAUCCGAAGAUUUCCGAAUGGGGAAACCCACCAUACGUAAUGGUAUGGUAUCCUUAUCUGAAUACAUAGGGUAAGGAAGACAGACCCAGGGAACUGAAACAUCUAAGUACCUGGAGGAAGAGAAAGCAAAUGCGAUUUCCUGAGUAGCGGCGAGCGAAACGGAACAUAGCCCAAACCAAGAGGCUUGCCUCUUGGGGUUGUAGGACAUUCUAUACGGAGUUACAAAGGAACGAGGUAGACGAAGCGACCUGGAAAGGUCCGUCGUAGAGGGUAACAACCCCGUAGUCGAAACUUCGUUCUCUCUUGAAUGUAUCCUGAGUACGGCGGAACACGUGAAAUUCCGUCGGAAUCUGGGAGGACCAUCUCCCAAGGCUAAAUACUCCCUAGUGAUCGAUAGUGAACCAGUACCGUGAGGGAAAGGUGAAAAGCACCCCGGAAGGGGAGUGAAAGAGAUCCUGAAACCGUGUGCCUACAAAUAGUCAGAGCCCGUUAACGGGUGAUGGCGUGCCUUUUGUAGAAUGAACCGGCGAGUUACGAUCCCGUGCGAGGUUAAGCUGAAGAGGCGGAGCCGCAGCGAAAGCGAGUCUGAAUAGGGCGUUUAGUACGUGGUCGUAGACCCGAAACCAGGUGAUCUACCCAUGUCCAGGGUGAAGUUCAGGUAACACUGAAUGGAGGCCCGAACCCACGCACGUUGAAAAGUGCGGGGAUGAGGUGUGGGUAGCGGAGAAAUUCCAAUCGAACCUGGAGAUAGCUGGUUCUCCCCGAAAUAGCUUUAGGGCUAGCCUUAAGUGUAAGAGUCUUGGAGGUAGAGCACUGAUUGGACUAGGGGUCCUCAUCGGAUUACCGAAUUCAGUCAAACUCCGAAUGCCAAUGACUUAUCCUUAGGAGUCAGACUGCGAGUGAUAAGAUCCGUAGUCAAAAGGGAAACAGCCCAGACCGCCAGCUAAGGUCCCAAAGUGUGUAUUAAGUGGAAAAGGAUGUGGAGUUGCUUAGACAACUAGGAUGUUGGCUUAGAAGCAGCCACCAUUUAAAGAGUGCGUAAUAGCUCACUAGUCGAGUGACUCUGCGCCGAAAAUGUACCGGGGCUAAAUACACCACCGAAGCUGCGGAUUGAUACCAAUGGUAUCAGUGGUAGGGGAGCGUUCUAAGGACAGUGAAGUCAGACCGGAAGGACUGGUGGAGUGCUUAGAAGUGAGAAUGCCGGUAUGAGUAGCGAAAGACGGGUGAGAAUCCCGUCCACCGAAUGCCUAAGGUUUCCUGAGGAAGGCUCGUCCGCUCAGGGUUAGUCAGGACCUAAGCCGAGGCCGACAGGCGUAGGCGAUGGACAACAGGUUGAUAUUCCUGUACCACCUCUUUAUCGUUUGAGCAAUGGAGGGACGCAGAAGGAUAGAAGAAGCGUGCGAUUGGUUGUGCACGUCCAAGCAGUUAGGCUGAUAAGUAGGCAAAUCCGCUUAUCGUAAAGGCUGAGCUGUGAUGGGGAAGCUCCUUAUGGAGCGAAGUCUUUGAUUCCCCGCUGCCAAGAAAAGCUUCUAGCAAGAUAAAAGGUGCCUGUACCGCAAACCGACACAGGUAGGCGAGGAGAGAAUCCUAAGGUGUGCGAGAGAACUCUGGUUAAGGAACUCGGCAAAAUGACCCCGUAACUUCGGGAGAAGGGGUGCUUUCUUAACGGAAAGCCGCAGUGAAUAGGCCCAAGCGACUGUUUAGCAAAAACACAGCUCUCUGCGAAGCCGUAAGGCGAAGUAUAGGGGGUGACACCUGCCCGGUGCUGGAAGGUUAAGGAGAGGGGUUAGCGUAAGCGAAGCUCUGAACUGAAGCCCCAGUAAACGGCGGCCGUAACUAUAACGGUCCUAAGGUAGCGAAAUUCCUUGUCGGGUAAGUUCCGACCCGCACGAAAGGUGUAACGAUUUGGGCACUGUCUCAACCAGAGACUCGGUGAAAUUAUAGUACCUGUGAAGAUGCAGGUUACCCGCGACAGGACGGAAAGACCCCGUGGAGCUUUACUGUAGCCUGAUAUUGAAUUUUGGUACAGUUUGUACAGGAUAGGCGGGAGCCAUUGAAACCGGAGCGCUAGCUUCGGUGGAGGCGCUGGUGGGAUACCGCCCUGACUGUAUUGAAAUUCUAACCUACGGGUCUUAUCGACCCGGGAGACAGUGUCAGGUGGGCAGUUUGACUGGGGCGGUCGCCUCCUAAAGUGUAACGGAGGCGCCCAAAGGUUCCCUCAGAAUGGUUGGAAAUCAUUCGUAGAGUGCAAAGGCAUAAGGGAGCUUGACUGCGAGACCUACAAGUCGAGCAGGGACGAAAGUCGGGCUUAGUGAUCCGGUGGUUCCGCAUGGAAGGGCCAUCGCUCAACGGAUAAAAGCUACCCCGGGGAUAACAGGCUUAUCUCCCCCAAGAGUCCACAUCGACGGGGAGGUUUGGCACCUCGAUGUCGGCUCAUCGCAUCCUGGGGCUGUAGUCGGUCCCAAGGGUUGGGCUGUUCGCCCAUUAAAGCGGUACGCGAGCUGGGUUCAGAACGUCGUGAGACAGUUCGGUCCCUAUCCGUCGUGGGCGUAGGAAAUUUGAGAGGAGCUGUCCUUAGUACGAGAGGACCGGGAUGGACGCACCGCUGGUGUACCAGUUGUUCUGCCAAGGGCAUAGCUGGGUAGCUAUGUGCGGAAGGGAUAAGUGCUGAAAGCAUCUAAGCAUGAAGCCCCCCUCAAGAUGAGAUUUCCCAUAGCGUAAGCUAGUAAGAUCCCUGAAAGAUGAUCAGGUUGAUAGGUUCGAGGUGGAAGCAUGGUGACAUGUGGAGCUGACGAAUACUAAUAGAUCGAGGACUUAACCAUAUAA